CCUACGGGUGGCAGCAGUGAGGAAUAUUGGUCAAUGGGCGAGAGCCUGAACCAGCCAAGUCGCGUGAGGGAGUACUGCCCUAUGGGUUGUAAACCUCUUUUGUCGGGGAGCAAAAGCCGGACGUGUCCGGCUGUGAGAGUACCCGAAGAAAAAGCAUCGGCUAACUCCGUGCCAGCAGCCGCGGUAAUACGGAGGAGGCGAGCGUUAUCCGGAUUUAUUGGGUUUAAAGGGUGCACAGGCGGAUUUUUAAGUCAGCGGUAAAAUCGUGGGGCUCAACCCCAUCCAGCCGUUGAAACUGGGGAUCUAGAGUGUGCGAGAGGUAUGCGGAAUGCGUGGUGUAGCGGUGAAAUGCAUAGAUAUCACGCAGAACCCCGAUUGCGAAGGCAGCAUACCGGUGCACAACUGACGCUCAGGCACGAAAGCGUGGGUAUCGAACAGGAUUAGAUACCCCAGUAGUC
This 458-nucleotide ribosomal RNA is filed under the name uncultured bacterium. RNAcentral describes it as "partial 16S ribosomal RNA". It matches the Rfam family "Bacterial small subunit ribosomal RNA", at positions 338 to 795 of the family's 1533-position model. The record is from RNAcentral.